Picea glauca (white spruce) is the source of this 73-nucleotide non-coding RNA. Lineage: Eukaryota; Viridiplantae; Streptophyta; Pinopsida; Pinales; Pinaceae. The record is from Rfam.
ACCCACUUAACUCAAUGGUUAGAGUAUCGCUUUCAUAUGACGAGAGUCGUUGGUUCAAAUCUAAUAGUAGGUA